Molecule: ribosomal RNA, 253 nt
Filed under: uncultured bacterium
Lineage: Bacteria
Description: partial 16S ribosomal RNA
Rfam family: Bacterial small subunit ribosomal RNA
Source: RNAcentral
UACGUAGGUGGCAAGCGUUGUCCGGAAUUAUUGGGCGUAAAGCGCGCGCAGGCGGUCUCUUAAGUCUGAUGUGAAAUCUCGCGGCUCAACCGUGAGCGGUCAUUGGAAACUGGGAGACUUGAGUGCAGAAGAGAAGAGCGGAAUUCCACGUGUAGCGGUGAAAUGCGUAGAGAUGUGGAGGAACACCAGUGGCGAAGGCGGCUCUUUGGUCUGUAACUGACGCUGAGGCGCGAAAGCGUGGGGAGCGAACAGG